RNAcentral lists this ribosomal RNA (660 nucleotides) under Heleniella osarumaculata. Its description in RNAcentral is "eukaryotic LSU rRNA". It matches the Rfam family "Eukaryotic large subunit ribosomal RNA", at positions 433 to 954 of the family's 3401-position model. The record is from RNAcentral. Lineage: Eukaryota; Metazoa; Arthropoda; Insecta; Diptera; Chironomidae.
AAUAUCUAAACGGAGAGAUUNAAUAUUAUAUNUUACGAUAUAAUGUGCACUUCUUUCUUANUAAGACGCUGUGAUCCAUUAAAAAGUGGACCAUUCAAAUGGUUAUUUGGCUAUCAAUAGGCCGAUGUGAAGUUCAUUGAUGCAAGUAGCGAGAUCUUUUACGGUUUUGUAUGUUGUUUGAUGAGCUCAUCGUCACCUGUAUCUAUAGCUGUCUGAUGGAUUUUAAAGGUCAUAUCAUUGAUAUCUUUUGUGUAUCACUCAUAUUGUGAGAAUGGAUAUGUGCCCGAUCAACAGCGGUUAAAUUUGGGAUACCUUUUGGACCCGUCUUGAAACACGGACCAAGGAGUCUAUCUAGUAUGCGAGUAAAUGAGUAUUUUAAACUUAUUUGCAGAAAAAACUUGACUAUUCAAUGGGAUUACGUGUAUCAUUUUCAACGAUGAUAUUCCUCCAUCCCGGGGUAUUUUUAUCAACAUAUGCAGCAAUGUAUAUGGAAAAUAUACCAUGAGCAUACUGGAUAUGACCCGAAAGAUGGUGAACUAUGCCUGAUCAGGUUGAAGUCAGGGGAAACCCUGAUGGAGGACCGAAGCAAUUCUGACGUGCAAAUCGAUUGUCAGAAUUGGGCAUAGGGGCGAAAGACCAAUCGAACCAUCUAGUAGCUGG